GUCAUGGUUAGCAGUUAAAGAGAGUCUUGGUAUAGAACGAUCAAUUAAUAAUUUUCUUCAUUACAUUCAUUACU
Molecule: transfer RNA, 74 nt
Filed under: Synechococcus phage S-PM2
Lineage: Duplodnaviria; Heunggongvirae; Uroviricota; Caudoviricetes; Pantevenvirales; Kyanoviridae
Description: tRNA-Met
Source: RNAcentral